This 253-nucleotide ribosomal RNA is filed under the name uncultured bacterium. Its description in RNAcentral is "partial 16S ribosomal RNA". It matches the Rfam family "Bacterial small subunit ribosomal RNA", at positions 524 to 776 of the family's 1533-position model. The record is from RNAcentral.
GACGAACCGUGCGAACGUUGUUCGGAAUUACUGGGCGUAAAGCGCACGUAGGCGGCUACUCAAGUCAGAGGUGAAAGCCUGGAGCUCAACUCCAGAACUGCCUUUGAAACUAGGUAGCUUGAACACGGGAGAGGUGAGUGGAAUUCCGAGUGUAGAGGUGAAAUUCGUAGAUAUUCGGAAGAACACCAGUGGCGAAGGCGGCUCACUGGACCGUUGUUGACGCUGAGGUGCGAAAGCGUGGGGAGCAAACAGG